AGCUUUGCGCAGUGGCAGUAUCUAGCCGAUGAGGUUUAUCUGAGGCGCGAUUAUUGCUAGCUGAAAAAUUCUCCCACUUAACC
This 83-nucleotide small nuclear RNA is filed under the name Chinchilla lanigera (long-tailed chinchilla). RNAcentral's name for it is "U4 spliceosomal RNA (ENSCLAG00000020502.1)". It matches the Rfam family "U4 spliceosomal RNA", at positions 1 to 84 of the family's 138-position model. Rfam says of the family: U4 small nuclear RNA (U4 snRNA) is a component of the major U2-dependent spliceosome. Lineage: Eukaryota; Metazoa; Chordata; Mammalia; Rodentia; Chinchillidae. The record is from Rfam by way of RNAcentral.